Long non-coding RNA from Wyeomyia smithii (pitcher-plant mosquito), 505 nucleotides. RefSeq lists it as uncharacterized. Lineage: Eukaryota; Metazoa; Arthropoda; Insecta; Diptera; Culicidae. The record is from RefSeq and is a predicted model, not a curated record. The transcript is spliced from 2 exons.
CUCCGUCGUAUCGCCCAAUGCUACUAUACACACUUCUCUUUUUGACCUGUAUUCGGAUGCGGCCAGCGCUGGUAUUGCCUAUUUAGUUAAGGUUAAGUAACCAGUUUAAGCUAUCUGGCAACAACGGAGUAGCAACCGCGGGUGGUCAUGCUCAUGAAUGACAACCUUCCAUCCAUCAUAUCGAAGAACUACGGAAACGGGAUGAUUGGCCAGAGUGGAACGUAGCCGCCGAUGAAGAACUCAAAUCUGUGGUCGAAAAUGAGACUUGGUACCUUGUUGAUCUCCCAAUUGAUCGGAAGCCUGUGGCUUGUAAGUGGGUAUUCCGGCUUAAAACUAACCCGAAUGGUACCGUUCACAAAAGGUAGAUAAGGUUGGAUUGGAUUUAGAUUUUAUUUGGAUUGGAUGUGGGUUAGAUUUUGAUUAUAUUUGGAUAGAAUUUGAAUCUGAUAUAUUAGUUAUUUGGACAGCCAUUGGAAAAUAAUAAAACUCCACACUUCUCAUCUAA